The sequence is a transfer RNA, 73 nucleotides long. It matches the Rfam family "tRNA". Rfam says of the family: Transfer RNA (tRNA) molecules are approximately 80 nucleotides in length. Their secondary structure includes four short double-helical elements and three loops (D, anti-codon, and T loops). The record is from Rfam.
GCGAAUAUAGCUCAAUCGGUAGAGUGUCAGAUUGUGAGUUUGAAAGUUAUGGGUUCAAUCCCCAUUAUUCGCC